UCUACUGCUUCAAGUCUGCUUUUAUGCAACGGACAUCAGGGAAACUGAUUGGCUAGUCACAGUUGCCCUACUUCCAUUUCAGGACCAAAGGAAAAAACUGUUCCACAGAGAGUACCAAGAGAGCCUCAAGCAAAUCAGGAGGGUAGAUGCUAAACUGAACUUUUCCGAUUCUCGCGAUUUAAACGAAAGGUGACGGGUUGGGGGUGGGGUGGGGUGAUAUAACUAGGCUAUCCAAGUGUCGUCUGAAAAAAAGAAGGUCCUCCUCAGGAAGUAGUCAAAGUAGAGGAUGGGAAACAAACCGGUGUGGCCGAGUGACAAAUCCAGGAUGCUAACCGAGCUUGGAAGUGGAGGGCCCUGGAGGCCAGAGAGCCGAGAAAGGAGAGACCUCGGGCAAACCCUAGGGGAACAAGAACAAGCAGCAACGCAGAAAGACCAAGGCUGCCACAGAGCAGUGUGUAAGGAGACACCACGAAGGGAGCGGCGAGCGAGGAGGCAGCGACAGCAGGAGGGAGACUAGUGCCAGGGGCGACACGCAAGUGGCAACUGCGAAGAGGCACAGGCAGCCGGAGGUGGUAGGACUCUGUUGAGUCAGCACAGUUUCUACUCAGGGGGCACUUGUAGGAUCCCAGCUGCUCCUCGCGCCCCGGGGCCCGUAGCGGAAGAUCGGGCCGGGAAGCUGCAGAAAGGAUGUUAUUGACCCGCCAGCACCGGCCCUUUCCCCAUUUCACAGUCCUCGGCGAGUUCUCUACUGGGAUGCGCGACAGGUUGUAGACGUGAUACAGGCAUAUCAGCUUUACCCUCAUCGUAGCAGUUAGACUGUCGCUGAUUCGGUGAUUGGCCAGCACCUGCAUUACCGUGAGGGCUUUGUUUUGCUCUUUGCAAGAGACCGCUAAAAAAAAUUAAAGCAAAUUUUGUGUGUUAACUUUGGUCUCUGCACGUUUACUGACUUGUUGAUACAGUGUUGAGGGUGGGGGCAUAUCAUGGUGAGCAAAUUUCACCAAGUGUCAUUGUAAACAGUCCCAAAAUAAAUGGGACUGAACUCUAGAACGCAGUGUGCAUAGAAGCCCCUGAGACUGACACCUUUCUGAACCUGCAACUAGAUGAGUUAACAAUAUGUGAAACUGAAGGUAGUCACUUCUACCUGAUUUAUAAUGUAAUUUACCUGAACCUACUGUCAAGGUGUGUACUCUAUUGUGUAUUAGAAACCAGUUUCCAAGGAAGUUGACCAGUAAAUUUUCGGAUUUGACAUGCAGAAUCCUUCCAUCUCUUUUAAGAAGGCACAAAGGCAUUUAAGAAAAGUAAGACCAGCUGAAGUAGAAAUUCCUUCCCCUUUACCAGAGUUCCCCCCCAACCUGUUCCUCUACCUUAACAAUAGUACUAUUGUGUAAGAUGAAAUUUACUUCAUACAUUAAAGUCUCAAAACAUUAAGUAAAGGCAUUACAAACUUUGUGGAAACAGAAUGGUUCAUUUAGGUAAUCAGGCAGAAAUUCAGGAUAAAUCCUGAUUUUACUCAAUUCAGCUAACUGAGACAAAGUAGUUUUGCUGUUGUUUUAAUCUACAUUUGAUACAUAAUUUACAUAUUACUGAACCAGCAAAAUUCUGUUCUCUGCAGCACAAUGAAAUGUGUUACAGAAAUUGACAAAAUAAGCCAUGAAUAGGAAAUAAGAUUGGAAAAUAACUAUCCAGUCUGAGAUAUUAAGGGAAACUAAGACAUACUAGAGACAACAAGGAACCUGGAAAAAGAUAACUAUUCCAACCUGUAAAUAAGAAAACAGUGGAGGCUCAUUAAUAUUUAAGAUACUAGUAAAUUGAAACUGUAAUUUAGGUGUCUGGUUUGAGUAGUUUUCUUUCACAUAUUUUUCCCAUUCCAGAAGCAAGGCAUUUUCACUUAUUUUAAAGGUGGUAAAUUAAGUAUAGACACAACUUGAGGUUUGUACCAACCUGUAAUACGACAUGGAUAUGCAUUUAACAUCGAGAAGUUUGUCUGUAGACCUAGGAGCAAGACAAAAUCAUUAGCUCCAAGUUUUCUCAGCCAGAGUUCUUUCUGUGACCUAAAAAACCUAAUGCUAGCUAGCCUCCAAAGUCCUACCGCACAUCCACCUCUCUGACCUCAUUUCUACUAAGCACUGUUACCAUUACCCUUCUCCUAUAACAGCAUGGCAUGUUCUAGCCCUGGGGCCUUUGCACUGACUUUUCUCUAUCUGGAAGGAUCUUUCCACCAGAUACGUGCAUGGCUAGAUCUCUCACUUAUGUUCCAUCUUUGCUCAGAUGUCACUUUUUCAAGGAAGUCUACUCUGACCAUCCAUUUAAAAUGUUGCCCCUCCCCCAGCAUCCUCAUAAAAGACUCCAAAAGGAAAAGCCCUAAUUAAAAAUGAUUAAAAGCAAAAUCCUUGGUGUUGAAA
Molecule: non-coding RNA, 2402 nt
Organism: Vicugna pacos (alpaca)
Lineage: Eukaryota; Metazoa; Chordata; Mammalia; Artiodactyla; Camelidae
Source: RefSeq, a predicted model, not a curated record